Crotalus tigris (Tiger rattlesnake) is the source of this 678-nucleotide long non-coding RNA. RefSeq lists it as uncharacterized. The transcript is spliced from 3 exons. The record is from RefSeq and is a predicted model, not a curated record. Lineage: Eukaryota; Metazoa; Chordata; Lepidosauria; Squamata; Viperidae.
GUUAUUUUCUCCAUUCAUAUAAUAAUUACCUUGUUCUUUCAGCUUUCUGGCAGUAUUGGUAGCAAUUCUACAAGGAAGGAAGAAAUUGUGAGGAUACAAAAAGUCUUAACAUAUCUAUUCUGAAGAAACUAGGGAGGAUCCCUUCUGAAAUGUUUCCCAUGCCUUCCCUCCUUCUGUAGCUGAGAUUAUCUUUUUCAUGCUGGUUGUCCAAAGGAGCAUGACUUUGGAGAGCUUGUUUGGCAUCAUGAUUAAAAGCAUGGAAGUUACAACUGGAAGUUCCAGUCCUGGUUUAAGCAUAAAAUCACCUGAAUACCUUCGCCAACCAGCUUCUCGGUUACCAAGAAACCUGCAUGAACUUGUCCACAUACCUGCAUAAUACUGUGAACAUCUUUCAUUAAAAUGUUUACGCAAAAAGUAUAUUCAUCACUUUAACAGCAUAGUAAUUUAGAAACCUUGGGGACACUAUUAAAGUUGAUCUUUUGCAACAAUAUUUUGAAUAGAUUUCUUGAGCAAGAUGUAGAUCCACCCUGUAUUUGAGUUACAAUUGCAUUAUCUGACAUUUUCAAUAAAGAUUAACUUAGUCAAUCUGGUAAAAACAAAGAUAUUUUGAGUGGUUUCCAACAAGUCCUUAAUUAAUCAUUGCAUACAAGUAGUCAUUCACAGAUAAAUUUUCAGUUG